GACUGGACGGCAGGGAGUGGGGCUGUCAUCAUCAGAUGAGAGCUAAGGGGACCCCCACCAGGGUGGCAGCAAUGGCAGAGGGUAGGCAAAACGCUUGUAUUUGCAACAUAAGGUGAGAUUUGACAGCUGACUGAGGGUGGGAGCAGCAGCCAAAACCAAAAAAGCCAGAGGGAAGUUGCAAGCACAGAAAAAAUAGAAGAUUUAAUGGGAGAAAUAACAAUACCUGGCAUCUAUUGAACACUUACCGGGAGCUAGGUACAGGGCCCAUUCAUUCAUUCAUUCAAUUAAAACUUUUUUUAAGAAACGGGGUCUUGCUCUGUUGCCCAGGCUGGAGUGCAGUGGUGUGAUCACAGCUCACUGCAGCCUUGAAUUCCUGGUCUCAAGGAGUCCUCCCACCUCAGCCUCCUGUGUAGCUGGGAUUAUAGGUACGUGCGGUACACCUGGCUCCCUUUAAAAGUUUUUUGUAGAGGCAGGGCACAGUGGCUCACACCUGUAAUCCCAGCACUUUGGGAGGCCAAGGCAGGAGGAUCACAAGGUCAGGAGUUCGAGACCAGCCUGACCAACAUGGUGAAACCCGUCUCUACUUAAAAUACAAAAAUUAGCCGGGUGUGGUGGCGGGCGCCUGUAAUCCCAGCUACUCAGGAGGCUGAAGCAUGAGACUUGCUUGAACCCAGGAGGCGAAGGUUGCAGUGAGCCGAGAUCGCGCCACUGCACUCCAGCCUGGGUGACAGAACAAGACUCCGUCUCAAAAAAAAAAAAAAGUUUCUUGUAGAGGCAGGGCCUUGCUUUGUUGCUGGUGCAAUCACGGCUCACUGCAUCCUCUAACUCCUGGCCUUAAGCAAUCUUCUGUCCUCAGCCUCCCAAAGCACUGGGAUUACAGGCAUGCGUGACCACACCUGGUCCCUGCCAUUGUUUAUUGAGCACCUACUGAGUGCCAUGUAUUAAGUGCUGGGUAUUUGUCAGUGGACAAAACAGAUUAAAAAAAUCACAGCCCUUAGGGAGCUUACCCUCUGGCAGGGGCGUCAGACAAUAACACAGCAAGUGCUGAGGAAGAAACGGAGGCGGCAGGGAGCGUGGCAGUUGAGCGUGGCCUUCAUGGAGCUGCGACAGUGGUACUCGGGCAGGGGCAGCACGGAGGCUGUGUGCCAGAGGAGGAGGACUGAGGGGCAAGGGGGAGAGCUCUGGUUGGAAAGGCAGGGGAGAUUCUCCAGGGCCUUGCCGGUGCCAGUGACAACUGGGGUUUUCCUGAGACGGGACUGCGAGGAAUGGGGGCUCUCAGGCUUGAGAGGGCAAAGGUGGUCUGGGAUGCCGUCUGCCCACAGGGCCCCUUCCCCAACGGCUGCCCAGGCCAAGGCCAACCCUGUUGGGUUGUGUGGUGUGAGCCAUGAAGCCACUGCCAGGCUUGUACCUCAGGCGUGGUUGUGAUGCCCCAGCUUCACUGGCCCUGCCUGUGGGGACGUGGUGCCUGUGUGCGGGAGCCUGGGCCUCAGCCGAGGCCCUGAGCUCCGGCACUGCCCAGAACCCAGCUCAGCGCUGGUACUCAGCCCGCCCGCUGUGGCCCUGGUGGAGUGGAGCACGUGCCCAGUGGGGGCUGGCCUUGUCCCAUCGCGGACCUGUCCUUUCCCGGGGCAGGGUGGUGUGGGAGAGGGUAUCAGGGACAUUUUCUGAGUCUGCUCUGUCUCUGCCGCCCCUGCCUGAACACACAGAUUCUGAAAGUCAAGAAGACAUCAUCCGGAAUAUUGCCAGGCACCUCGCCCAGGUCGGGGACAGCAUGGACCGUAGCAUCCCUCCGGGCCUGGUGAACGGCCUGGCCCUGCAGCUCAGGAACACCAGCCGGUCGGAGGAGGACCGGAACAGGGACCUGGCCACUGCCCUGGAGCAGCUGCUGCAGGCCUACCCUAGAGACAUGGAGAAGGAGAAGACCAUGCUGGUGCUGGCCCUGCUGCUGGCCAAGAAGGUGGCCAGUCACACGCCGUCCUUGCUCCGUGAUGUCUUUCACACAACAGUGAAUUUUAUUAACCAGAACCUACGCACCUACGUGAGGAGCUUAGCCAGAAAUGGGAUGGACUGAACGGACAGUUCCAAAAGUGUGACUGGCUAAAGCUCGAUGUGGUCACAGCUGUGUAGCUGCUUCCAGUGUAGACGGAGCCCUGGCAUGUCAACAGCGUUCCUAGAGAAGACAGGCUGGAAGAUAGCUGUGACUUCUAUUUUAAAGACAAUGUUAAGCUUAUAACCCACUUUAAAAUACCUACAUUAAUAUACUUGAAUGAAAAUGUCCAUUUACACGUAUUUGAAUGGCCUUCAUAUCAUCCACACAUGAAUCUGCACAUCUGUAAAUCUACACACGGUGCCUUUAUUUCCACUGUGCAGGUUCCCACUUAAAAAUUAAAUUGAAAAGCAGGUUUCAAGGAAGUAGAAACAAAAUACAA
This 2429-nucleotide small RNA is filed under the name Pan troglodytes (chimpanzee). RNAcentral's name for it is "retained intron". Lineage: Eukaryota; Metazoa; Chordata; Mammalia; Primates; Hominidae. The record is from RNAcentral.